Long non-coding RNA from Callithrix jacchus (white-tufted-ear marmoset), 955 nucleotides. RefSeq lists it as uncharacterized. Lineage: Eukaryota; Metazoa; Chordata; Mammalia; Primates; Cebidae. The record is from RefSeq and is a predicted model, not a curated record.
CAAAGUGGAUCCCUUUGUCGAAAUUGAUCAGACUGAAUACUGAAGGUCUGUGUCUUAUUGAAUGUAAAUUAUAUAGCAGGUUUUAAAAGGACAGGUUUCAGUCCUGGCCCUGCCUCUUAGUCACCAUCUAGAGAAGUUCCUCGCCUCUUUGAGACUCAGUUCCUUUUUCUAUGAUAUGGUAGUAGUGCUUAUACCCAUGCUUAUAUUCAGUAAGAUCAUGCAAGCAAAAGUGCUUUGUAAGUGACAGAAAGCCUCGGUGAGGAUCACUCCUAUCGUUAUUCUUUCCAUCCAGCCGCCUCCUGGAGCAGAUUGUUAAGCUGAUGCGAGUCUGGGCUCUGCCUCACCACUUGCCUUGGAGGUUAAACAAACACAGUUCUUUACAUCAAUGCUUUUGUUCCUGGCCAUCUGGUCUCCCAUCCCCUGCAGACCCAAGACCAUGGGCUGUGCUGCAGCAAAAUGAGGGUGUCCUCAGUGCACUGAGACCCACAUGCCAUGAGAGAUGGUUCUGACUCUGUCACUUAGGCUGGAGUGGAAUGUGUGAUCAGAGUUCACUGUAGCCUCGAUCUCCUGCAUUCAAGCCAUCCUCCCACCUCAGCCUCCCGAGUAGCUGGGACUGCAGGCAUACACCACCAUGUCUGGCUGAAUUUUUGUACAUUUUGUAGAGACAGGGUUGUGCCACGUUGUCCACGCUGGUCCCUAGCUCCUGGACUCAAUCAAUCUGCCUGCCUCAAACUCCCAGAGGCCUGGAACUAUAGGCAUGAACCAUUGCUCUUGGCCAUUUUUAAUUUAAGAGACAGGGUCUCACUUUGUUACCCACGCUGGAGGGCAGUACCCUUACUGCAGCCUUGAAUGCCAAGGCUCAAGCCAUCCCCCCACCUCAGCCUCUCAAGUAGCUGGGACUCCAUGUGUGCAUUACCAUGCCCAGCUAACUGAGUCACCACCACACCACUGUAUG